GAUGAACGCUGGCGGCGUGCCUAAUACAUGCAAGUCGAGCGAACAGACGAGGAGCUUGCUCCUCUGACGUUAGCGGCGGACGGGUGAGUAACACGUGGAUAACCUACCUAUAAGACUGGGAUCACUUCGGGAAACCGGCGCUAAUACCGGAUAAUAUCCUGCACCGCAUGGUUCAAUAGUGAAAGACGGCUUUGCUGUCUCUUAUAGAUGGUUCCGCGCCGCUUUAGCUAGUUGGUAAGGUAACGGCUUAUCAAGGGAACGAUGCGUAGCCGACCUGAGAGGGUGAUAGGCCACCCGGGAACGGAGACACGGUCCAGACUCCUACGGGAGGCAGCAGAAGGGAAUGUUCCGCAAUGGGCGAAAACAUGACGGAGCAACGCCGCGUGAGUGAUGGAGGUCUUCGGAUCGUAAAACUCUGUUAUUAGGGAAGAACAGAUGUGUAAGUAACUAUGCACGUAUUGACGGUACCGGAUCAGAAAGCCACGGCUAACUACGUG
This 497-nucleotide ribosomal RNA is filed under the name uncultured bacterium. RNAcentral describes it as "partial 16S ribosomal RNA". It matches the Rfam family "Bacterial small subunit ribosomal RNA", at positions 28 to 507 of the family's 1533-position model. The record is from RNAcentral.